Molecule: ribosomal RNA, 462 nt
Filed under: Shewanella algae
Lineage: Bacteria; Pseudomonadati; Pseudomonadota; Gammaproteobacteria; Alteromonadales; Shewanellaceae
Description: partial 23S ribosomal RNA
Rfam family: Bacterial large subunit ribosomal RNA
Source: RNAcentral
GGUUAAGCGACCAAGCGUAUACGGUGGAUGCCUUGGCAGUCAGAGGCGAUGAAGGACGUAGUAACUUGCGAAAAGCGUUGGUGAGCUAGUAACAAGCAUUUGAGCCAGCGAUGUCCGAAUGGGGAAACCCGGCAGCAUAAGCUGUCAUCAAUACGUGAAUACAUAGCGUAUUGAGGCGAACGAGGGGAACUGAAACAUCUAAGUACCCUCAGGAAAAGAAAUCAACCGAGAUUCCCCAAGUAGCGGCGAGCGAACGGGGAUUAGCCCUUAAGUCUUUGGGGUGUUAGUGGAAUGUGUUGGAAAGCACAGCGGCACAGGGUGAUAGCCCCGUACACGUAAACUAACCAGAGAUGAAAUCGAGUAAGGCGGCACACGUGAUAUGUUGUCUGAAUAUGGGGGGACCAUCCUCCAAGGCUAAAUACUCCUGACUGACCGAUAGUGAACCAGUACCGUGAGGGAAAG